This 274-nucleotide ribosomal RNA is filed under the name uncultured Neisseriales bacterium. RNAcentral's name for it is "partial 16S ribosomal RNA". It matches the Rfam family "Bacterial small subunit ribosomal RNA", at positions 527 to 802 of the family's 1533-position model. The record is from RNAcentral. Lineage: Bacteria; Pseudomonadati; Pseudomonadota; Betaproteobacteria; Neisseriales.
GUAGGGUGCGAGCGUUAUCGGAAUUACUGGGCGUAAAGCGAGCGCAGACGGUUACUUAAGCAGGAUGUGAAAUCCCCGGGCUCAACCUGGGAACUGCGUUCUGAACUGGGUGACUAGAGUGUGUCAGAGGGAGGUAGAAUCCACGUGUAGCAGUGAAAUGCGUAGAGAUGUGGAGGAAUACCGAUGGCGAAGGCAGCCUCCUGGGAUAACACUGACGUUCAUGCUCGAAAGCGUGGGUAGCAAACAGGAUUAGAUACCCUGGUAGUCAAGGGCG